AGGCGCCGGGAAAUUGGUGGAAAACACCUUCGGCUUCCCAGUGUGGAUCAAGCGUGAGGAGUGAGAGAAACUAGGUAAGAGUUCAAAGUUUUUGUUUUUUCUCUGGAGCGAAUUGCAAUGAUAGGACAAUUAUGAAACAAGACUAGAUUUUUUUUAUCUUCAAAACAUAGGGGCUUUUAGUUUAUUAUCUAAGAGAGACAAUAAAAUCUUAAGAUAUUCAUUGAAGGGAGAAAAAAAGACCAGGUUCAGAGGGAGAAACUGGAGUGGCUUACACUUCAUCAAGUCUAUUUUUUCAGUCAACUCAAACCAUUAAAAAAUAUGAUUAAAAAAUGUAUACUUUACAUAUAAUGUGCCAGGAACUUCUCUGAAUACCUAAUGAUCCUGCAUGAAUUUAAUCAUCUCCAGGACUUUAGAGAGAAGGUAAGAGAGACCCAGAGCUAAUGUUCUAAAUUUGUACAUUUAGUAUAUAGUGGAAAUGAAAUGUAUCACAGCAAAAAACUGGAACAAUGUAAAAUGUCCAGUUAAAUACAUGUAGUGUUUCCAUGGAGUGCUGUGCACUCAUUUAAAAUAAUGAUUUUAAUCACCAGGUAGAAAUAUGUAAAAAUAUAACAUGGUAAGUGAAAAAAACUAAGAUAUUCUAUUACUGGUAGUUUAGCUUACAUGUCUUUUGUUAAAAAUAAAGUUUAUCUAAAAAUGGCUAGGAGAAAAACCACAAAAUGUGAAUUAAAGAGUAUUUAUGUUAUGGGUGAUUUUUUUUCUCUGUAAUUUCCUGCCUAUUUAAUGUGGUGACAUUACUUCUUUAUAGGAAAAAUAAACAUAACAAAAUGGGGAGAGGAAUCGACUUUUGAAAAUUUUUAUCAAAUCUAGUCAAGUGAUUUGUAUUUUAAAUUUGACUUAACAGAAAUCAAGUAGGUUUUUCUCAUAGCUGAUGCUUGAACAUGGGUUUGAAUUACUGGGAUCCACUUAUAUGGGGAUUUUUUUCCAAUAAAUGUGUCCUACACAGAGAUUGAUUCUGAUUGAAUCUGUGAGUGUGAAACCUCAGCUAGGAUUAAUUAACUACUAUAGUGAUGUGGAUUUUUUUUUUUAACUUGUCCUGCUGUGGAGUGGCUCCAGGUAGGAAUCUCAAUUCCCAGACCAGGACUGAACCCAGGCCACAGCAGUGAAAGCACCAAGUCCUAACUACUAGACCACCAGGGAACUCCCUGUAGUAAUAUGGAUUUUCAACUGUGGUAGGUGUCCAUGCCCUUAACCCCUGUAUUGUUUAAGGGUUAACUGUAUUAUGAGAUUAGCAAUGGCACUUACAAAACUGUCUUAUUCAUUAUUGAAAACUAACUUUUAACACUAGCACAUCCUUAAACUUGACCUGCUGAAAGCACACCAGUGUUCCAGCAAGAACAAAGGAGAAAGCGGAAGUGAAGCAAGUGAAGCACACACCUUUCUUUAAGGUCAGUCAGUAUCUGAAAGUCACACAGACAGUCUGCCCUCCAUAUCAGCAGAGAUGGAAGCAGCCCACUGUAGUAUGCCAUUUUCUAUAAAGGAUUCGAGCAUGGGGAGUUUGGUAGCUGGUGAGGAGGAGAGAGUCCUGGAACCUAUUCUACUCCCUUACACUAGGGAUGACCAUACCAUAUCAUUUCUAUUCCUUUGGACAGAACUCUGGUACAUGACCACACCAAGAUGUAAGCUGGCAUAGAAAAGUGCUAUCUGUCUUUGAGCUAACAUGUACCUAGCUAAAAACCAAAGAAGGUGUAAUAAGAGAUAGCCUCUGACACCAGAGGGUCUACUAAGAGUCAGUAUGAAUAGAGAUUAAAAUGCAUUUUGAAGUCAAACAAACUGAAAUCAGGGUAUACAUCUGUCACUUAUUAGCUUUCAGACCCUGGGAAAAUUUCUUAAUCUCUCUAAACAUAAAUUAUAUCAUCUUUAGUGUAUAUUUCCCAUAUUUUGGUUACCUUCCUAUUUUUGUAGGGAAUAAUUGUGUGACUCUUGUAAAGCUGCCCUCACACUACAUGACAAUUUUCUAUUUAUAUCAAGUGCACCUAUAAUGAUUUGUUACUAUGUUCUCUAAUAUAUUUCCCUACCCAAAAUUUAAUUAAUUGUUCUAUGAUUAGUUCAAUUAUCAUAAUCAUACACCAAACAUAAAGAUGUGCUUUAAGGAAGUUCUCUAGUGGCUCAACAGGUUAAGGAUCUGGUGUUGUCAUUGCUGUAGCUCAGGUUGCUGCUGUGGCAUAGGUUCGAUCCCUGGCCAGGGAACUUCUCAUUCCAUGGGAGCAGCCACACACACACACACACACAUGAUUUAAAAGAAAAAAGCUUGCAUUUGACUGAAGAGCAGAUGGUGACAGUAGUGGAAUCUUUAUAUUAUCCUCCGAAAUUUAACCUUCUAUCCUCUCUACCCUCUGCAUAAAUUUAUAAAUUAGAGAACAUGUAAAGAAACUACCCUACAGCAGCAAAUACAAGAGAAUUAACAGUCACCUGAAGUAGAUCCUCCAGAACAUCAGAUGAAGAAACAAUAAAGAAUAUAAAAUAAAUGUUUAAAUUUUUAAUUAAAAUUAACAACUCAUUACAAAUAUGAAGCCAUCAAUAUUUUUAAAAUAAAAUGAAAUAUCAGUGUUUUAAAAGAAUAUUGAGAUUAAAUACUUCAGACAUUAGAAACAGCAAAAUAGAAAAUAGUGACUUGUAAAUUGAGGAAAUAAAGU
RNAcentral lists this long non-coding RNA (2693 nucleotides) under Sus scrofa (pig). Its description in RNAcentral is "lncRNA (ENSSSCG00000052570.1)". Lineage: Eukaryota; Metazoa; Chordata; Mammalia; Artiodactyla; Suidae. The record is from RNAcentral.